UAUAUUAUGUCACAAGGAAACUUGGAGCAUUAGUCCUAUAAGCAAGAACUACCUAUUAUGGGGAUAGAUACAAGUAUGAGGAUAAGAAAAAUAGCGUUUGCAUGAAAAUUGGAUUGUUUCCAGAGAUAAGAAAAAUAGCGUUUGGGUAGAUAAUAUGGAAUAAGAAAAAUAAUGGAUAGUUAUAUAUAGAAAAUAAAGGUGUUGGUGGAGAUAGUUAUACUAGCUUAUUUCAGGUAUCCGAGAAUUACUAUUUUUGGGUAAAAAAUUAACGUUUGGAUAUAAAGGGGGGAUAAGGGGUUAUUCCACCCCUUAUCCCCAAUCCAAACGGGUAACUUAGAUAUUCGCGAUAUAGCUAACUUUAAUUUCAAAAUAUUUCACUUCACAAGUAAAAAAAAAAAAAAAAAAAAAAU
RNAcentral lists this long non-coding RNA (410 nucleotides) under Ananas comosus (pineapple). Its description in RNAcentral is "long non-coding RNA (ACOM_LNC037476)". The record is from RNAcentral. Lineage: Eukaryota; Viridiplantae; Streptophyta; Magnoliopsida; Poales; Bromeliaceae.